This is a long non-coding RNA of Bos taurus (domestic cattle), 617 nucleotides long. The record is from Ensembl. NCBI's taxonomy places the organism in Eukaryota, Metazoa, Chordata, Mammalia, Artiodactyla, Bovidae.
GGCCACCUUUCAGUGCUCAGGAUUUCUAAGCCUUCUCCCCACCCUCCUUGGCCAGCUCAGCACUGGCAGGAGCACUUGACAACCUGCUGGAGACUUCCCUGAGAACUGCAUUUAGGAUCUGGCCCAGAGCCGCAAAAAGGGAAGCAGCAUCCUUGCCAGUUCCUAGACUGUCCUUCAAGGCUCAGUGCAAAGGGAAGAGGCUGGGGUUGGGCAUCCACAGACCUAAUGGACAACAUCUAAGUGGACAUACUCUUGCUGGCCCAGAUAUCUGCUUUUGCAAAUGCUACCAGGGAAAACACUUUCACAACUAGGAGGAGGCAGAAAAUGCUUUCCAAGCGUUCCUCAAAUCCUGACUUUUAUGCUGCAGGAAUUAACAAACGUAUUUCUUGUUGGCAAAAUUGUACUGAUUGUAAUGGAUUCUAUUUUGGUUAAUAAAGAUAUGCUUGAGCCUAGUUAUAAUGAUUUAAAAAUCCACAGUCUGAAACAGCAAUUACUUUUGUACCAAUAUAAUAUUUAUCAGCGUUCUCCUGAUGGCAUCUACCAAGCUUAUAGAAUGGCUCUCUUAGGUUUGCACUCUCCCUAGAUCCAAUCAGAUCCAAGGAUGGUGAUCUAUGAAG